ACAAUGGGUUUGCCGUCUGGAGAGGCGA
This 28-nucleotide small nuclear RNA is filed under the name Arabidopsis thaliana (thale cress). RNAcentral describes it as "snRNA_00365". Lineage: Eukaryota; Viridiplantae; Streptophyta; Magnoliopsida; Brassicales; Brassicaceae. The record is from RNAcentral.